Molecule: ribosomal RNA, 522 nt
Filed under: uncultured bacterium
Lineage: Bacteria
Description: bacterial SSU rRNA
Rfam family: Bacterial small subunit ribosomal RNA
Source: RNAcentral
AAUAGAUACCCUGGUAGUCCACGCCGUAAACGAUGAGUGCUAAGUGUUAGAGGGUUUCCGCCCUUUAGUGCUGCAGCUAACGCAUUAAGCACUCCGCCUGGGGAGUACGGUCGCAAGACUGAAACUCAAAGGAAUUGACGGGGGCCCGCACAAGCGGUGGAGCAUGUGGUUUAAUUCGAAGCAACGCGAAGAACCUUACCAGGUCUUGACAUCCUCUGACAACUCUAGAGAUAGAGCGUUCCCCUUCGGGGGACAGAGUGACAGGUGGUGCAUGGUUGUCGUCAGCUCGUGUCGUGAGAUGUUGGGUUAAGUCCCGCAACGAGCGCAACCCUUGAUCUUAGUUGCCAGCAUUUAGUUGGGCACCCUAAGGUGACUGCCGGUGACAAACCGGAGGAAGGUGGGGAUGACGUCAAAUCAUCAUGCCCCUUAUGACCUGGGCUACACACGUGCUACAAUGGAUGGUACAAAGGGCUGCAAGACCGCGAGGUCAAGCCAAUCCCAUAAAACCAUUCUCAGUUCGGA